GAAUGCACAAUUUAGCUGGAGUCAUUCUUCCUGCUAUGCUGCUGAGAGGCCUAGCGUAGCCUGAUGUACACCAAUGACCUGUAAGGGAAAUACCCAUGGCAGAGAGACAGGCCUUCACAAAGAUUCAUGGGACUGGAGCUAAAGUUAAACACUGGUAGAUGGGGGUCUUGAGAAGAAGAGGAGAGAUCAGAUCUUGGAAGAUUCUCCACAUGUAAGGAGUGGCCUGGAAGAAAAAGCACAGAGGCCGCUCUCAGAAAGACUGUCACUGGGAGUUUUGCCCAGUACACUGGGAAAUUUGACCAAAAACUGAGGAAGGAGCUCAGGAUCAGGCUCACUGUAGAGACAAAUGCUGUAAACUAUGGAGGUACUGUUUGCAUGACUCCAGUUACCUACAAUUGCUGAAGCUCAGUGACCGUCAAGAUGGCACUGACAAGAACCAGGUGUCAUGGAGGCAAGAGCUACAUAUUAGAGGUGUAGAUCCCCUGCUGCAGAGGCUCCUAAGAAGAAUUUUUUGGUGCCGCCUCCGGGAGAAAAAGAGGAACUGAACAGAAUGUUUACUAAUUUGCAUCUGCAAGGCAUAGAAGCAACUGUUUUGUAGAUGACAGGAUUGUUAUUGCUAAUUAAAAUGUUUGUGAACAGGUGCCCUGGAGUGUGUCUCUGGCAAGCACUUGUUACUAGGGCUGAUCGAAAUAUUUCCAGCAAAACUCUUUUUGAUGGAGAAUUGGGUUUUCAGCUAAAGUGUGUGUGUGUGUGUGUGU
This is a long non-coding RNA of Mauremys reevesii (Reeves's turtle), 758 nucleotides long. RefSeq lists it as uncharacterized. The transcript is spliced from 4 exons. The record is from RefSeq and is a predicted model, not a curated record. NCBI's taxonomy places the organism in Eukaryota, Metazoa, Chordata, Testudines, Geoemydidae.